GAUGCUGCCAGGGUCCCUGAAGAGGGAAGACACGCGGAAACAGGUUGUAGACAGACCCCUGUCUUGAGCAUCCUCCUUGCUAGGCCUGCUGAGUCUUCUGAGAGUAGGGUAGGUUAUUGGAUGCCCAGGAGGGAAGAAGGAGCCAGGGAGGUCGGCCCCGAGGUUCUGCAAGGCCCUCAACAGGCCUGGACUGGGGAGGUCUGGACAGCAUGGCCCUGUCCUGAGCCUCUGUGCGUAAUAACUGCGUCCCUAACCUCCACCCCACCCUCAGCCUUCCAAUUCCCGGGCCUGGGGCCCUACUCCUGUGCUCCAGAGACUCCUGGAGCUCCUUGAGGCAGCACACAGCCCUGCUCUGGAGGCACCCAUCUCCCACUCAUGCUGGGAUGCUCCAGCCCAUCCCAGAGCAGGGUGUGGCUGGAGGGUGCUGGCAGAGGAGGGACAAUGGCCUGGCUCCUGGAGGCAAGUGUUGGCUGCAGGGAACGGAGUUUAGUCCUUGCCACAGCCCUUGUUACCCCUUAGGUAACCUUAAGGGGAUUUCAAAGAACACUGGCUCUGCAACCCUGCUAAGUUUUUUAUGGAACAUGUAAAAUAGAUCCCAUGGCCA
This 604-nucleotide small RNA is filed under the name Pongo abelii (Sumatran orangutan). Its description in RNAcentral is "retained intron". Lineage: Eukaryota; Metazoa; Chordata; Mammalia; Primates; Hominidae. The record is from RNAcentral.